RNAcentral lists this ribosomal RNA (486 nucleotides) under uncultured bacterium. RNAcentral's name for it is "partial 16S ribosomal RNA". It matches the Rfam family "Bacterial small subunit ribosomal RNA", at positions 28 to 523 of the family's 1533-position model. The record is from RNAcentral.
GAUGAACGCUGGCGGCGUGCCUAAUACAUGCAAGUCGAGCGAAUGGAUUAAGAGCUUGCUCUUAUGAAGUUAGCGGCGGACGGGUGAGUAACACGUGAGUAACCUGCCCUUGACUCUGGGAUAACUGCGGGAAACUGUAGCUAAUACCGGAUACGACCCUCGGCGGCAUCGCCAGGGGGUGGAAAGAAUUUCGGUCAAGGAUGGACUCGCGGCCUAUCAGCUAGUUGGUGAGGUAACGGCUCACCAAGGCGACGACGGGUAGCCGGCCUGAGAGGGUGACCGGCCACACUGGGACUGAGACACGGCACAGACUCCUACGGGAGGCAGCAGUGGGGAAUAUUGAACGAUGGGCGCAAGCCUGAUGCAGCAACGCCGCGUGAGGGAUGACGGCCUUCGGGUUGUAAACCUCUUUUAGUAGGGAAGAAGCGAAAGUGACGGUACCUGCAGAAAAAGCACCGGCUAACUACGUGCCAGCAGCCGCCGUAA